RNAcentral lists this ribosomal RNA (301 nucleotides) under uncultured bacterium. RNAcentral's name for it is "partial 16S ribosomal RNA". It matches the Rfam family "Bacterial small subunit ribosomal RNA", at positions 509 to 807 of the family's 1533-position model. The record is from RNAcentral.
CAGUCGCCGCGGUAAUACGUAGGUGGCAAGCGUUGUCCGGAAUUAUUGGGCGUAAAGGGCUCGCAGGCGGUUUCUUAAGUCUGAUGUGAAAGCCCCCGGCUCAACCGGGGAGGGUCAUUGGGAACUGGGAAACUUGAGUGCAGAAGAGGAGAGUGGAAUUCCACGCGUAGCGGUGUAAUGCGUAGAGAUGUGGAGGAACACCAGUGGCGAAGGCGACUCUCUGGUCUGUAACUGACGCUGAGGAGCGAAAGCGUGGGGAGCGAACAGGAUUAGAUACCCCCGUAGUCCCUGUCUCUUAUAC